CAAGAAGCCGAAGGCUACUUAAAACCAUCGCGAACUUAUCCAAGUUGCUUCGGCGGCGCGGCUCCCCUCACGGGGGACCGCAGCCCCCGCCUCUCAGGAGGUAAGGGGCAGCCGCCGGAGGUACGAAACUCUGUAUUAUAGUGGUAUCUCUGAGUAUAAAACAAAUAAGUUA
Molecule: unclassified non-coding RNA, 172 nt
Filed under: soil metagenome
Description: partial internal transcribed spacer 1
Source: RNAcentral